This 26-nucleotide non-coding RNA is filed under the name Cricetulus griseus (Chinese hamster). Lineage: Eukaryota; Metazoa; Chordata; Mammalia; Rodentia; Cricetidae. The record is from RNAcentral.
UGACUGCUCUUCCAGAGGACCCGAGU